AAUGGGUCAGCGACUUAUAUUCUGUAGCAAGGUUAACCGAAUAGGGGAGCCGAAGGGAAACCGAGUCUUAACUGGGCGUUAAGUUGCAGGGUAUAGACCCGAAACCCGGUGAUCUAGCCAUGGGCAGGUUGAAGGUUGGGUAACACUAACUGGAGGACCGAACCGACUAAUGUUGAAAAAUUAGCGGAUGACUUGUGGCUGGGGGUGAAAGGCCAAUCAAACCGGGAGAUAGCUGGUUCUCCCCGAAAGCUAUUUAGGUAGCGCCUCGUGAAUUCAUCUCCGGGGGUAGAGCACUGUUUCGGCAAGGGGGUCAUCCCGACUUACCAACCCGAUGCAAACUGCGAAUACCGGAGAAUGUUAUCACGGGAGACACACGGCGGGUGCUAACGUCCGUCGUGAAGAGGGAAACAACCCAGACCGCCAGCUAAGGUCCCAAAGUCAUGGUUAAGUGGGAAACGAUGUGGGAAGGCCCAGACAGCCAGGAUGUUGGCUUAGAAGCAGCCAUCAUUUAAAGAAAGCGUAAUAGCUCACUGGUCGAGUCGGCCUGCGCGGAAGAUGUAACGGGGCUAAACCAUGCACCGAAGCUGCGGCAGCGACGCUUAUGCGUUGUUGGGUAGGGGAGCGUUCUGUAAGCCUGUGAAGGUGUGCUGUGAGGCAUGCUGGAGGUAUCAGAAGUGCGAAUGCUGACAUAAGUAACGAUAAAGCGGGUGAAAAGCCCGCUCGCCGGAAGACCAAGGGUUCCUGUCCAACGUUAAUCGGGGCAGGGUGAGUCGACCCCUAAGGCGAGGCCGAAAGGCGUAGUCGAUGGGAAACAGGUUAAUAUUCCUGUACUUGGUGUUACUGCGAAGGGGGGACGGAGAAGGCUAUGUUGGCCGGGCGACGGUUGUCCCGGUUUAAGCGUGUAGGCUGGUUUUCCAGGCAAAUCCGGAAAAUCAAGGCUGAGGCGUGAUGACGAGGCACUACGGUGCUGAAGCAACAAAUGCCCUGCUUCCAGGAAAAGCCUCUAAGCAUCAGGUAACAUCAAAUCGUACCCCAAACCGACACAGGUGGUCAGGUAGAGAAUACCAAGGCGCUUGAGAGAACUCGGGUGAAGGAACUAGGCAAAAUGGUGCCGUAACUUCGGGAGAAGGC
Molecule: ribosomal RNA, 1131 nt
Filed under: Escherichia coli
Lineage: Bacteria; Pseudomonadati; Pseudomonadota; Gammaproteobacteria; Enterobacterales; Enterobacteriaceae
Description: partial 23S ribosomal RNA
Rfam family: Bacterial large subunit ribosomal RNA
Source: RNAcentral